Molecule: non-coding RNA, 122 nt
Organism: Ceratotherium simum simum (southern white rhinoceros)
Lineage: Eukaryota; Metazoa; Chordata; Mammalia; Perissodactyla; Rhinocerotidae
Source: RefSeq, a predicted model, not a curated record
UAUAUAUGCAAAGGAAAUGAAAACAGAAUCUUGAAGACAUAUCUGCACUCUCAGGUUCAUUGCAGCAUUAUUCACAAUAGCCAACAUAUGGAAACAAUCUAAGUGUCUACUGGCAGAGAAAU